AAGAAUUUAGUUAAAUCUAUAACAUUAAUUUGUCAAAUUAAAAUUAUUUAAAAAUAAUUCUAA
This 63-nucleotide transfer RNA is filed under the name Hamamelistes spinosus. RNAcentral's name for it is "tRNA-Asp". Lineage: Eukaryota; Metazoa; Arthropoda; Insecta; Hemiptera; Hormaphididae. The record is from RNAcentral.